CCACAGCACAACAAAACAACUGUCACGCUGCUUCAAUGUUUAAUCCCUCUUUCAGGUAAACUGAGGCAGGAUCUUUGCAUUAGAGACGUGGAAAUUGACAUUGUUCGAUCACUAGUUCCUCGAAGUUAAGAGCUUCUUUCUGUUUCUUACACUGGAGAUUAAGAAUGAUAAGUGUCUGAUCGCUGCGUCACCUAAAAAAACCAUUUUCAGGGAAGAACAUAUCCAAAUAGCACAAGGUUGAUCUAAAAAAAUAAGCUUCCUGAAGUGACAUUUCUGAGACUGUUCCACUUUAUGGCCACUUUAUGGAAGGAAAUCUGCUGCCCUUACCUGGCCUGGCCUGGCCUUUACAUCAUUCACGACCCAUGGUGGAGGCCAAUCAGAGUGGAGCAGAUGCUGGAUCGGUUGUGGAAGUGUGUCUGAUAGAGUGGAUGAGCUGACGAGGAGGAGAUCUAACUCAGGUGGCCUGGAUGCAGUCCAAACAAUCAAUUGGAAUAUGGCGGGAUCAAACAACCAUGGCAGUUAAUCCAGGAAUCAAGACUCAAGGACCUGGAACAGAGCUUCAUAAAGUUUAAUGAUCACAUAUAAGUGGUCAUGGUCAGUAAUACAUCAAAUGCAAUAACUCACCCAUCGGACUAGCGGCUUCACACAUUGUUUGAUGCACUGCACCUUCAUUACUCACCAAGUAACAAUAUUUAUUAAGCAAAACUGACACCUAAUAUUCAGUGCCUCAUCUCACCUUCACAUGCUCAACAGUGCUCCUCGCCUCACAGCCAUAACUCACAGUUUUCACAGCUUUUCAGCUUUAAUAACCACAUCACCCAAAAAUAUUGUAACACUCUCACUUCACUGACACUUGCCUCUCGCUUGCAGGAUGUGGUGGAACAUAAUUCAAGGCAGUAGUACCCAAUCAUUAGGGGACAGGCAAGGUUACAUUUCCUUGCCUUGAUGGAGAACAUGCUAGCCACCAUUAGAUUCGGCAAUGACUGAGCAACUAAUCCGUCUUCUCAUCUCCUGUCCCCAGCUUCCCGUAAUCUAUUCUGAUUUACAAGCUACAGAUGGUUUAACAUGCACCUCUUGCUUUACCCCGCAUUGCAACACAAACCUCAUGCUUUGGUUUUUCAGAUCCACAAGCACUGCCACCUGGUCAAGCAUUGGUCUAGGAGCACGACGUCCAAAGGAGUGAGAUACUGAGUAUGAAAAGACCGCAACACUCAAUCCCACACUUGCAGCAGCCACCAGUUCAGAUAUUGCCACCAAAUAGGCUUCAGAAGGUAGUACACAGGUGGGAUCUGCACAUAGUCACCAGAUCACCAGAUAGAUAUAGCCCACCACAAGGACAAAGGGAAAGGGUAACACAGUUGCCAUCUCCUUGGAGGUUAUUUCAGUUGUAGAGGUUUCAAAGAGGCAGUGUUUGGAAAAGGCCAUGCAUGCGGAACGAAAUGCUGAGUGGACUGACAAACUUGCCGAAAGACUUACUGUCACUGUCCAGGAGUAUAGCCAAGUCUGACUCCAUUUGGAACAGAGGUUUAUGCAGAGCUUGCAGUCCAUCCUUUCCAGUAUCGAAGUGAUGACCAAGUUGAUGAGAAUGCUUAUGGAUCCAGCCAUUAUGUAGCACCUGUGACCAAAGUCUCAAAACUCCGAUUGUGGCAUGAACAGAAAGACCAGAUAUCUGAGUUUUGCAGGAAACCUCAGACUAAAAUCAUGCAAAUUUAGCCUGUCGCAAAGCAUGCUUAGACUUCUGAUAUCAAUGCUGUUGAUAUCAAUGCUUAAAGUGGUCUACUUUCAAAGCUGUCCAAUAGUUUGUCAUUGUAAAGACCACAUCUUAUUAUAUUUAUUGUCAAUUAUGGAGUGAAAUGGGAAAAGGGACUGUUUUACAACAAAGAACUGAGGAAGAAAUUGCCCCACUUUUAUGACCUUUUUACUGAAACUCAUUGAAUGCCCUGCCUCCACAGUUGCUUUGCAAACAAUAGGGAAAGGUGUAAAAGGAGACAAAAGAACAUUGAACAAGAGCCAGUGCUGCUAUGUAAAUACAAUCAUUGCAUAUUUUAUCUCAACCUCAACUCCACUUGACUUCCUGCUCCCCAUAAUCCUUUAACUCAUUACUAACUAAAUAAUUGUCUAUCUCCUCCUUAAAUUUAUUCAGUAUCUGGUGUCUGCUGCACUCUGGGGUAGUGAAUUCCAUGGAUUCAUGGCCCUCUGUUUUAAAUCUGCCACCCCUUACCCUAAAACUAUCAUCUCUUAUUCUAGAUUGCCCCAGAACGGGCCACGUCUACUUUAUCAAUCCCCUCUGGCAACUUAUAUUCCUCAAUUAGAUCUCUUCUCAUUCUUAUAAACUAUAUAGUAUAGGUCUAAACUGCUCAAUCUCUCCUCACAAAACAAGCCUUUCAUCUCUGAAAAUCAUCCAGUAAUCCUUCUCUGAACUGCCUUCAAUGCAAAUACAUUCUUCCAUAAAUAAAAUAACCAAAACUGCUCAAUACUCCAGAUACGAUACUCCAUAGUACUGCACUCCAAUGAUAAGGUCUGUUGCAGAGAUCUCUUCUCCAGCUUCUGCUUCCAUCUGUUUGAGCAGAUCUGUGCUGCCUCUGCUCAAUCCUCCUCUGAUACUGCAGCAUAAAGAUGUGGAGAUGCCGGUGUUGGACUUGGGUGGACGAAGGUUAAAAGCCCAACACCUGACAAAGGAACAGUGCUCCAAAAGCUUGUGAUUUCAGAUAAACCUGUUGGGCUAUAACUUAGUGUUUUGUGACUUCUGAGUUUGACAGCAUAAAGAAGCUGCUAACUUAGCACCCAUGUCUAGGAGCAAGUGGUUUAAUGAGAAGCCUUGCAGUUAGAAUCGAGACCUCUUCAUGUUUAUCACCACUCCUUUGACAUUGUCAACUUAACCCAACUCUGAAGACCAGCCAGUACAUUUACAAACACACACUGAACCAAUGGAUAUUAAUCAGCAAUUAAUCCAAGAGUAGUUGAUGUUCUCUUUUAAAAGCAGUGGUGAGAAUCUGUUUCCUGUUGCUGAAGACGUGUUCAGAUGUACACGUUUAAGAGAUAUCAGUCAAACUAGAGAGUCCUUAAUGGAAACCUUGGAAAAUUGCUUGGCCAUCACAAUCUGCAUAUUUGCCUACUUCUGACCCAUACUUCUUAUGGUCAUGACCUCACCAAAAAAAAUCUGCAACACACUGGAGCAGAAUAUCCACAUAUGAUGCUUGUUGUACAGGGCAAUGGUUCUGGAAGAAUUAAUGUUGAAAUUGUAUUAGCUCUAUCCAACCUGAUGAUGUCACACAAUCUUUGGGUGGAGUAAGAGUUGAUUUUGUACAAAGUCAAGUGGAGACAGGCAUGGCAUACAUUGUAAAACAUUAUUCCUAACUGAUUGAUCUUAAUUGUACCUGUUGCGACUGUGCAAUAAAGUAUACCUUGUUAUGUAAG
Long non-coding RNA from Rhincodon typus (whale shark), 3417 nucleotides. RefSeq lists it as uncharacterized. Lineage: Eukaryota; Metazoa; Chordata; Chondrichthyes; Orectolobiformes; Rhincodontidae. The transcript is spliced from 4 exons. The record is from RefSeq and is a predicted model, not a curated record.